UACGUAGGGGGCUAGCGUUGUCCGGAUUUACUGGGCGUAAAGAGCUCGUAGGUGGUUUGUCGCGUUGUUCGUGAAAACUCACAGCUCAACUGUGGGCGUGCGGGCGAUACGGGCAGACUGGAGUACUGCAGGGGAGACUGGAAUUCCUGGUGUAGCGGUGGAAUGCGCAGAUAUCAGGAGGAACACCGGUGGCGAAGGCGGGUCUCUGGGCAGUAACUGACGCUGAGGAGCGAAAGCGUGGGGAGCGAACAGG
RNAcentral lists this ribosomal RNA (253 nucleotides) under uncultured bacterium. RNAcentral's name for it is "partial 16S ribosomal RNA". It matches the Rfam family "Bacterial small subunit ribosomal RNA", at positions 524 to 776 of the family's 1533-position model. The record is from RNAcentral.